UACGUAGGGGGCAAGCGUUGUCCGGAUUCACUGGGCGUAAAGCGCGCGCAGGCGGUGAUGUAAGUCUGAGGUGAAGACCCGAAGCUCAACUUCGGGACUGCCUUGGAUACUGCGUCACUUGAGGAUAGGAGAGGCAAGGGGAAUUCCACGUGUAGCGGUGAAAUGCGUAGAGAUCGGGAGGAAGGCCGGUGGCGAAGGCGGCGCUCUGGAACAUUUCUGACGCUGAGGCUCGAAAGCGUGGGGAGCAAACAGGAUUAGAUACCCCUGUAGU
RNAcentral lists this ribosomal RNA (271 nucleotides) under uncultured bacterium. Its description in RNAcentral is "partial 16S ribosomal RNA". It matches the Rfam family "Bacterial small subunit ribosomal RNA", at positions 524 to 794 of the family's 1533-position model. The record is from RNAcentral.